UACGUAGGGUGCGAGCGUUGUCCGGAUUUAUUGGGCGUAAAGAGCUCGUAGGCGGUUUGUCGCGUCGGCCGUGAAAUCUCCACGCUUAACGUGGAGCGUGCGGUCGAUACGGGCAGACUUGAGUUCGGUAGGGGAGACUGGAAUUCCUGGUGUAGCGGUGAAAUGCGCAGAUAUCAGGAGGAACAGCCGGUGGCGAAGGCGGAUCUCUGGGCCGAUACUGACGCUGAGGAGCGAAAGCGUGGGGAGCGAACAGG
RNAcentral lists this ribosomal RNA (254 nucleotides) under uncultured bacterium. RNAcentral describes it as "partial 16S ribosomal RNA". It matches the Rfam family "Bacterial small subunit ribosomal RNA", at positions 524 to 776 of the family's 1533-position model. The record is from RNAcentral.